This 364-nucleotide unclassified non-coding RNA is filed under the name Amphimedon queenslandica. Its description in RNAcentral is "uDP-glucose:glycoprotein glucosyltransferase-like, transcript variant X1". Lineage: Eukaryota; Metazoa; Porifera; Demospongiae; Haplosclerida; Niphatidae. The record is from RNAcentral.
AGUGUUAUUAGUGUUUGUAUUGUGUAGGAUUAUGAUGCUAAGCGUUCUGAAACACACUAAAAAUCCAGUCAAGUUUUGGUUCCUGAAAAACUAUCUCUCACCACAAUUCAAAGAUUUCAUUCCCAGGAUGGCUGAGAGGUAUGGGUUUGAGUAUGAGCUGGUACAGUACAAGUGGCCACGCUGGCUUCAUGGACAAACUGAAAAACAAAAAUUAAUCUGGGCGUGGUUCGUACUGAUAUGAAGGAGUUGUUGGAGGAGCCAUUGGAUGGAGCACCUUAUGGAUACACUCCUUUCUGUGAUAGUCGUACUGAUAUGGAUGGAUUCAAGUAAUUAAUGAUAUGUAUGUAAAUGGACAGAUUUUGUC